AUUGAACGCUGGCGGCAGGCCUAACACAUGCAAGUCGAGCGGUAGAGAGAAGCUUGCUUCCCUUGAGAGCGGCGGACGGGUGAGUAAGUCCUAGGAAUCUGCCUGUCUGUUGUGUAGAACGUUCGGACACGGACGCUAAUACCGCAUACGUCCUACGGGAGAAAGCAGGGGACCUUCGGGCCUUGCGCUAUCAGAUGAUCCUAUGUCGGAUUAUCUAGUUGGUGGGGUAAUGGCUCACCAAGGCGACGAUCCGUAACUGGUCUGAGAGGAUGAUCAGUCACACUGGAACUGAGACACGGUCCAGACUCCUACGGGAGGCAGCAGUGGGGAAUAUUGGACAAUGGGCGCAAGCCUGAUCCAGCCAUGCCGCGUGUGUGAAGAAGGUCUUCGGAUUGUAAAGCCCUUUAAGUUGGGAGGAAGGGCAGUAAAUUAAUACUUUGCUGUUUUGACGUUACCGAAAGAAUAAGCACCGGCUAACUCUGUG
This 484-nucleotide ribosomal RNA is filed under the name uncultured bacterium. RNAcentral's name for it is "partial 16S ribosomal RNA". It matches the Rfam family "Bacterial small subunit ribosomal RNA", at positions 30 to 507 of the family's 1533-position model. The record is from RNAcentral.